Pezoporus occidentalis (night parrot) is the source of this 346-nucleotide long non-coding RNA. RefSeq lists it as uncharacterized. Lineage: Eukaryota; Metazoa; Chordata; Aves; Psittaciformes; Psittacidae. The record is from RefSeq and is a predicted model, not a curated record. The transcript is spliced from 2 exons.
GUCCUGCAAGACACAGUGGGUUGUCUUGUAGAAAAGGUUUUGGAUUUUAGUGGUAUUUGACUUAUGUUGUGGCUUAUUAUAGUUAUGAUUUUGGUCUUGUGAUUUUGGUAUUGGUGACAGACUGUUAUAAAUGAGUUAUUAAUUGUUGUUAGUUUGAUACAAUUUUAGUCUCCGCCUCAAGUGUUGUAACUGUGUGGAGUGUGUCUGUGGGAUCCCAUGUGUGUGUGUGAAUGCGAGAUUGAUAAUGGGAAAUCAGCAGAGUGGAGAGAUCUUGAAAAAGAGUCCUUUAGGAUGCAUUUUGGCACACUGGAAAGAACUUGGAGGGUUUCCUGGGGGCUCAGUAAAU